GGGGAAUAUUGGACAAUGGGCGCAAGCCUGAUCCAGCCAUACCGCGUGGGUGAAGAAGGCCUUCGGGUUGUAAAGCCCUUUUGUUGGGAAAGAAAAGCAGUCGGUUAAUACCCGAUUGUUCUGACGGUACCCAAAGAAUAAGCACCGGCUAACUUCGUGCCAGCAGCCGCGGUAAUACGAAGGGUGCAAGCGUUACUCGGAAUUACUGGGCGUAAAGCGUGCGUAGGUGGUUGUUUAAGUCUGUCGUGAAAGCCCUGGGCUCAACCUGGGAAUUGCGAUGGAAACUGGGCGACUAGAGUGUGGCAGAGGGUAGUGGAAUUCCUGGUGUAGCAGUGAAAUGCGUAGAGAUCAGGAGGAACAUCCGUGGCGAAGGCGACUGCCUGGGCCAACACUGACACUGAGGCACGAAAGCGUGGGGAGCAAAC
This 425-nucleotide ribosomal RNA is filed under the name uncultured bacterium. RNAcentral describes it as "bacterial SSU rRNA". It matches the Rfam family "Bacterial small subunit ribosomal RNA", at positions 356 to 773 of the family's 1533-position model. The record is from RNAcentral.